AUUCUCCCCCCCCCCCCCCCGCGCCCGUCCCGCCGCCCCCGCCCGCCUACGGGAGGCAGCAGGGGGGAAUAUUGCACAAUGGGCGAAAGCCUGAUGCAGCAACGCCGCGUGAGGGAUGACGGCCUUCGGGUUGUAAACCUCUUUUAGCAGGGAAGAAGCGAAAGUGACGGUACCUGCAGAAAAAGCGCCGGCUAACUACGUGCCAGCAGCCGCGGUAAUACGUAGGGCGCAAGCGUUAUCCGGAAUUAUUGGGCGUAAAGAGCUCGUAGGCGGUUUGUCGCGUCUGCUGUGAAAUCCCGAGGCUCAACCUCGGGCCUGCAGUGGGUACGGGCAGACUAGAGUGCGGUAGGGGAGAUUGGAAUUCCUGGUGUAGCGGUGGAAUGCGCAGAUAUCAGGAGGAACACCGAUGGCGAAGGCAGAUCUCUGGGCCGUAACUGACGCUGAGGAGCGAAAGGGUGGGGAGCAAACAGGCUUAGAUACCCUGGUAGUCCACCCCGUAAACGUUGGGAACUAGUUGUGGGGACCAUUCCACGGUUUCCGUGACGCAGCUAACGCACUAAGUACGCCCUGCACUGGACACGGCGACUCGG
Molecule: ribosomal RNA, 590 nt
Filed under: uncultured Microbacterium sp.
Lineage: Bacteria; Bacillati; Actinomycetota; Actinomycetes; Micrococcales; Microbacteriaceae
Description: partial 16S ribosomal RNA
Rfam family: Bacterial small subunit ribosomal RNA
Source: RNAcentral